GGGGAGGUGGCUCAGUGGUUAGAGCACUGGCUGCUGUUGCAGAAGACCUGGGUUCAGUUCCCAGCACCCACA
RNAcentral lists this transfer RNA (72 nucleotides) under Rattus norvegicus (Norway rat). It matches the Rfam family "tRNA". Rfam says of the family: Transfer RNA (tRNA) molecules are approximately 80 nucleotides in length. Their secondary structure includes four short double-helical elements and three loops (D, anti-codon, and T loops). Lineage: Eukaryota; Metazoa; Chordata; Mammalia; Rodentia; Muridae. The record is from Rfam by way of RNAcentral.